Long non-coding RNA from Tribolium castaneum (red flour beetle), 461 nucleotides. RefSeq lists it as uncharacterized. The record is from RefSeq and is a predicted model, not a curated record. The transcript has 2 exons. Lineage: Eukaryota; Metazoa; Arthropoda; Insecta; Coleoptera; Tenebrionidae.
CAACUGGAAUUAAAAAUCCAAGUGGCAGUGAAAACUGAAACGCAACCUUCGUAAUUAUUCUCAUUGUUUUUCCUCUCGCGAAUUAAAACCUCCAGUUACCCUCAAACAAACGCUCGCCAAAUUAAUUAUUAGUAAUGCGUUCAAGUAUGCGUGACUGAUGCAUAUUUCAGACAGCACUAGCUUGUACGGCUUUUACGGGACUUGGGAAAACACUGGUAAUGAUAAUAAAUAUUUUUGGGGCGAGAGGAAAGUUUUAUACCGGAAUGGGACUAAUUAAAUUUUCACGAGGAGCGACACAAAACGAAGAUUUUAACUUGCUGUACUGUUGGAAAAAACACAAAAGAGGAGAAAGAUUACAUCGUUUCAGUGCCAAUCUUAUCAACGAUAAUAAGGGUGAUUAUAGAACCAUUAUCGACCAUGGAGAUUCAUAGAUUUUUUUAAAUAUAUUAUGUUUUCUUUCA